GUCUAUUGCCAUACCACCCUAACGCGCCCAAUCUCAUCUGAUCUCGGAAGCUAAGCAGGGUGGGCCUGGUUAGUAACUGGAUGGGAGACUGCCUGGGAAUACCAGGUGCUGUAGGCU
Molecule: ribosomal RNA, 117 nt
Filed under: Neogale vison (American mink)
Lineage: Eukaryota; Metazoa; Chordata; Mammalia; Carnivora; Mustelidae
Source: RNAcentral